AUUGAACGCUGGCGGCAGGCUUAACACAUGCAAGUCGAGCGGGGGAAGGUAGCUUGCUACCGGACCUAGCGGCGGACGGGUGAGUAAUGCUUAGGAAUCUGCCUAUUAGUGGGGGACAACAUCUCGAAAGGGAUGCUAAUACCGCAUACGUCCUACGGGAGAAAGCAGGGGAUCUUCGGACCUUGCGCUAAUAGAUGAGCCUAAGUCAGAUUAGCUAGUUGGUGGGGUAAGGGACUACCAAGGCGACGAUCUGUAGCGGGUCGGAGAGGAUGAUCCGCCACACUGGGACUGAGACACGGACCAGACUCCUACGGGAGGCAGCAGUGGGGAAUAUUGGACAAUGGGGGGAACCCUGAUCCAGCCAUGCCGCGUGUGUGAAGAAGGCCUUAUGGUUGUAAAGCACUUUAAGCGAGGAGGAGGCUACUCUAGUUAAUACCUAGGGAUAGUGGACGUUACUCGCAGAAUAAGCACCGGCUAACUCUGUGCCAGCCGCCGCCGUAA
Molecule: ribosomal RNA, 501 nt
Filed under: uncultured bacterium
Lineage: Bacteria
Description: partial 16S ribosomal RNA
Rfam family: Bacterial small subunit ribosomal RNA
Source: RNAcentral